UGGAUCCAGACUUUGAUUCUGGCUCAGGACGAACGCUGGCGGCGUGCCUAACACAUGCAAGUCGAACGGAACUAUUUUAAAAGAUUUCUUCGGAAUGAUUUUGGCUUAGUUUAGUGGCGGACGGGUGAGUAACGCGUGAGUAACCUGCCUUCAAGAGGGGGAUAACGUUCUGAAAAGGACGCUAAUACCGCAUAACAUAUCGGAAUCGCAUGGUUCUGAUAUCAAAGAUUUUAUCGCUUGAAGAUGGACUCGCGUCCGAUUAGUUAGUUGGUGAGGUAACGGCUCACCAAGAUCGCGAUCGGUAGCCGGACUGAGAGGUUGAACGGCCACAUUGGGACUGAGACACGGCCCAGACUCCUACGGGAGGCAGCAGUGGGGGAUAUUGCGCAAUGGGGGCAACCCUGACGCAGCAACGCCGCGUGAAGGAUGAAGGUUUUCGGAUUGUAAACUUCUUUUCUUAAGGACGAAAAUUGACGGUACUUAAGGAAUAAGCUCCGGCUAACUACGUGCCAGCAGCCGCGGUAAUACGUAGGGAGCAAGCGUUGUCCGGAUUUACUGGGUGUAAAGGGUGCGUAGGCGGCAAUGCAAGUCAGAUGUGAAAUCUAUGGGCUCAACCCAUAAACUGCAUUUGAAACUGCGUUGCUUGAGUGAAGUAGAGGCAGGCGGAAUUCCCCGUGUAGCGGUGAAAUGCGUAGAGAUGGGGAGGAACACCAGUGGCGAAGGCGGCCUGCUGGGCUUUAACUGACGCUGAGGCACGAAAGCGUGGGUAGCAAACAGGAUUAGAUACCCUGGUAGUCCACGCUGUAAACGAUGAUUACUAGGUGUGGGGGGUCUGACCCCUUCCGUGCCGGAGUUAACACAAUAAGUAAUCCACCUGGGGAGUACGGCCGCAAGGUUGCAACUCAAAGGAAUUGACGGA
This 919-nucleotide ribosomal RNA is filed under the name uncultured Bacillota bacterium. RNAcentral's name for it is "bacterial SSU rRNA". It matches the Rfam family "Bacterial small subunit ribosomal RNA", at positions 1 to 917 of the family's 1533-position model. The record is from RNAcentral. Lineage: Bacteria; Bacillati; Bacillota.